GAUGAACGCUGGCGGCGUGCCUAAUACAUGCAAGUCGAGCGAACAGACGAGGAGCUUGCUCCUCUGACGUUAGCGGCGGACGGGUGAGUAACACGUGGAUAACCUACCUAUAAGACUGAGAUAACUUCGGGAAACCGUAGCUAAUACCGGAUAAUAUAUUGAACCGUAUGGUUCAAUAGUGAAAGACGGUUUUGCUGUCACCUAUAGAUGGAUCCGCGCCGCAUUAGCUAGUUGGUAAGGUAACGGCUUACCAAGGCAACGAUGCGUAGCCGACCUGAGAGAGUGAUCGGCCACACUGGAACUGAGACACGGUCCAGACUCCUACGGGAGGCAGCAGUAGGGAAUCUUCCGCAAUGGGCGAAAGCCUGACGGAGCAACGCCGCGUGAGUGAUGAAGGUCUUCGGAUCGUAAAACUCUGUUAUUAGGGAAGAACAAAUGUGUAAGUAACUAUGCACGUCUUGACGGUACCUAAUCAGAAAGCCACGGCUAACUACGUG
RNAcentral lists this ribosomal RNA (497 nucleotides) under uncultured bacterium. Its description in RNAcentral is "partial 16S ribosomal RNA". It matches the Rfam family "Bacterial small subunit ribosomal RNA", at positions 28 to 507 of the family's 1533-position model. The record is from RNAcentral.